Non-coding RNA from Prunus avium (sweet cherry), 694 nucleotides. NCBI's taxonomy places the organism in Eukaryota, Viridiplantae, Streptophyta, Magnoliopsida, Rosales, Rosaceae. The record is from RefSeq and is a predicted model, not a curated record.
UAUUUCCCUCAUUCAGUUCGCAUGCCCUAACCUGCUCCGACGCCGACAAAGCAAUCUGCCACCGACGUCGGCCAAGCACUCGUAUGGACAUACCCACUCUCUUCCCCCAAGAUUUCUGAUGGCCUGAGUUAUUUUCCAUUGUCUCUGCCCCAGACCAUCUACCCUUCAGUUCUCCAGAAUUUUCAGAAUCUCUACAGCCACAACCAAGCAGUGAUUCAAAGGUCGUUGCAACCCCUCAACCAUUGAAUUGACGAAGUCCUCCUCUCACGACUUCCUUCAUAUGGUGCCUUUCUGUUAGGAUGAUACUUAAGAGGGCUGUUAGCUUAAGCAAUAAUAAUAGGCCACAUAUCAGCAUGUGUCUCAUUCUCUAAGGCAAUUCGUACACUUUACGGGUCUGGCUUUCAAUCCUCCCUAUUGUCUUGAGUUGUUCUCUAGCUGCAAUUGAUGAGGUGUCAUUCAAUUUCCAAGGCCUGUGGGGUGCUUUGAUUAGCAAUCUUGGGUUUGUGUUGAGGAACAUUUACUCAAAAUGCAGUUUACAGAACUUCAAGGAAGUAGAUGGGUUGAAUUUGUAUGAUUAUUUGAUGAGGUGGAAGGAUUUGGUUUGUGGUUUUGGACAGAGGACCAUUUGAGGAAGAUGAUUGAUGAGUUUGAGCAGAUCAAGCAACAAUUGGCAGAGUGUUUGGGAAUUCCAUGA